This 65-nucleotide transfer RNA is filed under the name Tacola eulimene. RNAcentral's name for it is "tRNA-Ser". Lineage: Eukaryota; Metazoa; Arthropoda; Insecta; Lepidoptera; Nymphalidae. The record is from RNAcentral.
AAUUAAUGAGCUUGUUAAAGCAUUUGUUUUGAAAACUUAUGAAAGAAUAAAUAUUCUAUUAAUUU